This 71-nucleotide transfer RNA is filed under the name Bos taurus (domestic cattle). It matches the Rfam family "tRNA". Rfam says of the family: Transfer RNA (tRNA) molecules are approximately 80 nucleotides in length. Their secondary structure includes four short double-helical elements and three loops (D, anti-codon, and T loops). The record is from Rfam by way of RNAcentral. RNAcentral also lists the same sequence under 5 other names. Lineage: Eukaryota; Metazoa; Chordata; Mammalia; Artiodactyla; Bovidae.
UCCCUGUAGAUCAAAUGGUAAAGAAUCUGCCUGCAAUGCAGGAGAUCCAGGUUUGAUCCCUGGGUUGGGAA